RNAcentral lists this ribosomal RNA (430 nucleotides) under Bacillota bacterium. RNAcentral's name for it is "Firmicutes bacterium partial 16S ribosomal RNA". It matches the Rfam family "Bacterial small subunit ribosomal RNA", at positions 355 to 776 of the family's 1533-position model. The record is from RNAcentral. Lineage: Bacteria; Bacillati; Bacillota.
UGGGGAAUAUUUGACAAUGGGCGCAAGCCUGAUCCAGCCAUGCCGCGUGUGUGAAGAAGGCCUUUUGGUUGUAAAGCACUUUAAGCGAGGAGGAGGCUACUUGGAUUAAUACUCUAGGAUAGUGGACGUUACUCGCAGAAUAAGCACCGGCUAACUCUGUGCCAGCAGCCGCGGUAAUACAGAGGGUGCGAGCGUUAAUCGGAUUUACUGGGCGUAAAGCGUGCGUAGGCGGCUUUUUAAGUCGGAUGUGAAAUCCCUGAGCUUAACUUAGGAAUUGCAUUCGAUACUGGGAAGCUAGAGUAUGGGAGAGGAUGGUAGAAUUCCAGGUGUAGCGGUGAAAUGCGUAGAGAUCUGGAGGAAUACCGAUGGCGAAGGCAGCCAUCUGGCCUAAUACUGACGCUGAGGUACGAAAGCAUGGGGAGCAAACAGG